Molecule: ribosomal RNA, 1338 nt
Filed under: uncultured bacterium
Lineage: Bacteria
Description: bacterial SSU rRNA
Rfam family: Bacterial small subunit ribosomal RNA
Source: RNAcentral
GACGAACGCUGGCGGCGCGCCUAACACAUGCAAGUCGAACGAGCGAGAGAGAGCUUGCUUUCUCGAGCGAGUGGCGAACGGGUGAGUAACGCGUGAGGAACCUGCCUCAAAGAGGGGGACAACAGUUGGAAACGACUGCUAAUACCGCAUAAGCCCACGGCUCGGCAUCGAGCAGAGGGAAAAGGAGUAAUCCGCUUUGAGAUGGCCUCGCGUCCGAUUAGCUAGUUGGUGAGGUAAUGGCCCACCAGGGCGACGAUCGGUAGCCGGACUGAGAGGUUGAACGGCCACAUUGGGACUGAGACACGGCCCAGACUCCUACGGGAGGCAGCAGUGGGGAAUAUUGCACAAUGGGGGAAACCCUGAUGCAGCGACGCCGCGUGGAGGAAGAAGGUCUUCGGAUUGUAAACUCCUGUUGUUGGGGAAGAUAAUGACGGUACCCAACAAGGAAGUGACGGCUAACUACGUGCCAGCAGCCGCGGUAAAACGUAGGUCACAAGCGUUGUCCGGAAUUACUGGGUGUAAAGGGAGCGCAGGCGGGAAGACAAGUUGGAAGUGAAAUCUAUGGGCUCAACCCAUAAACUGCUUUCAAAACUGUUUUUCUUGAGUAGUGCAGAGGUAGGCGGAAUUCCCGGUGUAGCGGUGGAAUGCGUAGAUAUCGGGAGGAACACCAGUGGCGAAGGCGGCCUACUGGGCACCAACUGACGCUGAGGCUCGAAAGUGUGGGUAGCAAACAGGAUUAGAUACCCUGGUAGUCCACACCGUAAACGAUGAAUAUUAGGGGUGGGAGGAUUGACCCCCUCAGUCCCGCAGUUAACACAAUAAGUAAUCCACCUGGGGAGUGCGACCGCAAGGUUGAAACUCAAAGGAAUUGACGGGGGCCCGCCCAAGCAGUGGAGUAUGUGGUUUAAUUCGACGCAACGCGAAGAACCUUACCAAGUCUUGACAUCCCUUGACAGGCAUAGAAAUAUGUUUUCUUUUCGGAGCAAGGAGACAGGUGGUGCAUGGUUGUCGUCAGCUCGUGUCGUGAGAUGUUGGGUUAAGUCCCGCAACGAGCGCAACCCUUAUGGUCAGUUACUACGCAAGAGGACUCUGGCCAGACUGCCGUUGACAAAACGGAGGAAGGUGGGGAGGACGUCAAAUCAUCAUGCCCCCUAUGACUUGGGCUACACACGUACUACAAUGGCGUUAAACAAAGAGAAGCAAGACCGCGAGGUGGAGCAAAACUCAGAAACAACGUCCCAGUUCGGACUGCAGGCUGCAACUCGCCUGCACGAAGUCGGAAUUGCUAGUAAUCGUGGAUCAGCAUGCCACGGUGAAUAAGUUCCCGGGCCUUGCACU